Molecule: ribosomal RNA, 992 nt
Filed under: Fictibacillus sp.
Lineage: Bacteria; Bacillati; Bacillota; Bacilli; Caryophanales; Fictibacillaceae
Description: bacterial SSU rRNA
Rfam family: Bacterial small subunit ribosomal RNA
Source: RNAcentral
CCAGCAGCCGCGGUAAUACGUAGGUGGCAAGCGUUAUCCGGUAAUUAUUGGGCGUAAAGCGCGCGCAGGCGGUCUCUUAAGUCUGAUGUGAAAGCCCACGGCUCAACCGUGGAGGGUCAUUGGAAACUGGGAGACUUGAGUGCAGGAGAGAAAAGUGGAAUUCCACGUGUAGCGGUGAAAUGCGUAGAGAUGUGGAGGAACACCAGUGGCGAAGGCGGCUUUUUGGCCUGUAACUGACGCUGAGGCGCGAAAGCGUGGGGAGCAAACAGGAUUAGAUACCCUGGUAGUCCACGCCGUAAACGAUGAGUGCUAGGUGUUGGGGGGUUCCACCCUCAGUGCUGAAGUUAACACAUUAAGCACUCCGCCUGGGGAGUACGACCGCAAGGUUGAAACUCAAAGGAAUUGACGGGGGCCCGCACAAGCAGUGGAGCAUGUGGUUUAAUUCGAAGCAACGCGAAGAACCUUACCAGGUCUUGACAUCCUCUGACCACUCUAGAGAUAGAGCUUUCCCCUUCGGGGGACAGAGUGACAGGUGGUGCAUGGUUGUCGUCAGCUCGUGUCGUGAGAUGUUGGGUUAAGUCCCGCAACGAGCGCAACCCUUGACCUUAGUUGCCAGCAUUCAGUUGGGCACUCUAAGGUGACUGCCGGUGACAAACCGGAGGAAGGUGGGGAUGACGUCAAAUCAUCAUGCCCCUUAUGACCUGGGCUACACACGUGCUACAAUGGGUGGUACAAAGGGUUGCGAAGCCGCGAGGCCAAGCCAAUCCCAAAAAGCCACUCUCAGUUCGGAUUGUAGGCUGCAACUCGCCUACAUGAAGCCGGAAUUGCUAGUAAUCGCGGAUCAGCAUGCCGCGGUGAAUACGUUCCCGGGCCUUGUACACACCGCCCGUCACACCACGAGAGUUUGUAACACCCGAAGUCGGUGGGGUAACCCUUUUGGGAGCCAGCCGCCGAAGUGGGACAGAUGAUUGGGGUGAAGUCGUACAAGGUAC